This 320-nucleotide ribosomal RNA is filed under the name uncultured bacterium. RNAcentral describes it as "bacterial SSU rRNA". It matches the Rfam family "Bacterial small subunit ribosomal RNA", at positions 481 to 793 of the family's 1533-position model. The record is from RNAcentral.
GCAGAAGAAGCACCGGCUAACUCCGUGCCAGCAGCCGCGGUAAUACGGAGGGUGCGAGCGUUAAUCGGAAUUACUGGGCGUAAAAGCGCAUGCAGGUGGUUUGUUAAGUCAGAUGUGAAAGCCCGGGGCUCAACCUCGGAAUUGCAUUUGAAAACUGGCAAACUAGAGUACUGUAGAGGGGGUAGGAAUUUCAGGUGUAGCGGUGAAAUAGCGUAGAGAUCUGAAGGAAUACCGGUGGCGAAGGCGGCCCCCUGGACAGAUACUGACACUCAGAUGCGAAAGACGUGGGGAGGCAAACAAGGAUUAGAUACCCUCGGUAG